GUUUUGAUAUUUUAGAUAGUUUUGGGGGAGAAAGUGAGAUAAGAUAAGUAAUUAAGAAAAGAUAUAAAUAGGAGAAGACCUAAUUGUUAGAAAACUAUUGUACGUACGUUUUUGGAGAAAAAGGGAGAAAAAGCCAAGAGAAGAGAAACCAAGAGGGAGAGCUGCGAUUUCUGCAAUUAAGGUAAGGGUGAGACUAAUAACUCAGUAUUGUUAAUUGAAUGUAAUUN
Molecule: long non-coding RNA, 227 nt
Filed under: Medicago truncatula (barrel medic)
Lineage: Eukaryota; Viridiplantae; Streptophyta; Magnoliopsida; Fabales; Fabaceae
Description: long non-coding RNA (MTRU_LNC006255)
Source: RNAcentral